GGACGCCUGGUUCUCAACCAGGAAAUCGCGGGUUCAAAUCCCGCCGGGGUCACCA
Molecule: transfer RNA, 55 nt
Filed under: Candidatus Woykebacteria bacterium RBG_19FT_COMBO_43_10
Lineage: Bacteria; Candidatus Woykeibacteriota
Description: tRNA-Leu
Rfam family: tRNA
About the family: Transfer RNA (tRNA) molecules are approximately 80 nucleotides in length. Their secondary structure includes four short double-helical elements and three loops (D, anti-codon, and T loops).
Source: RNAcentral